AGCAGAGGGGAAAGGAGAAGAAAUUGAAGGUCAUACAGGAAUUGGAGCAGCGUACCAACCAAAUUCACCUCGUUCAUAGGAUUUGCUGCACCUGAGUUUCAUAGAGAUAGCAAGCUCACUGUUUAUCAUUGUUUUCCUCAUCCAGGCUGCACCUGAGUUUCAUAGAGAUAGCCAACCAGUUUCUGCCACUCACCGUCUCAAAUUUGCAUAUCAUUUUGUAUGUACAACUAGAAUGACUUAUACUAGAAUAGUUAAGACC
Momordica charantia (bitter melon) is the source of this 259-nucleotide non-coding RNA. NCBI's taxonomy places the organism in Eukaryota, Viridiplantae, Streptophyta, Magnoliopsida, Cucurbitales, Cucurbitaceae. The record is from RefSeq and is a predicted model, not a curated record.